GUCCAUGCCGUAAACGUUGGGCACUAGGUGUGGGGGACAUUCCACGUUUUCCGCGCCGUAGCUAACGCAUUAAGUGCCCCGCCUGGGGGAGUACGGCCGCAAGGCUAAAACUCAAAGGAAUUGACGGGGGCCCGCACAAGCGGCGGAGCAUGCGGAUUAAUUCGAUGCAACGCGAAGAACCUUACCAAGGCUUGACAUGGGCCGGACCGGGCUGUAAACAGUCCUUCCCCUUUGGGGCCGGUUCACAGGUGGUGCAUGGUUGUCGU
Molecule: ribosomal RNA, 266 nt
Filed under: uncultured bacterium
Lineage: Bacteria
Description: partial 16S ribosomal RNA
Rfam family: Bacterial small subunit ribosomal RNA
Source: RNAcentral